UUUAUUUUUUUCUCUUUACACAUGAGCAAACAGGUCAGAACCCGUUAUUUAUUUGAUGCAUUUCACGUCCUUCUCUAAUAUGUUGGGCUGAGAACUGUUUACAAUCUCCAUUCACAGAUUCAAGGUUUGAAAUAAUUACCUAAAAAAGCCCAGAAUAUAUGACUUGCUCCAGAGAGAUUCCUGAGGAGUUAAUCACAGUUCUCAGCAUUCAGGACUCUGGCUGGCCAUGGUUUCUGUGGUAUUAUUCUGCUCCUGACGGGACAUGCUGAGUUCCUAGAAUCAGAUUUUCAGGGUGAAUAGUCAGUUACAAAUUCAAGAGGUGGGUGUAACAUGAACUCUCUAAUUUUCACCUCAAAGCAGUUGUUUAUCUGAAUCUUCCUUCUUGGAAACUCAAUCCCAAGCGUGUUCACCCACAACACCCACAAUGGCAAUCCUGGCAGGGUAACCACAUCCCAAACGCUCCAGCUGAGGCAAAUAUAGCAGAGAAAUACUUAGGGCUGAUACAGGAGCUGUUGUCUUUCAUGUCUUUCAGGGCAGUUCAUGCCCACUGAGUGACUGAAACAUGCAGGAUGGUAACACAACAACAGCUUUAUCCUCUCUGCUUGCAGCAAACACACAGGGUUUAUUCAUCAUAAACACGGGGCACAGAAAUGAUUUUAAAAUGAAACUUCAGUUCUAUCACCAGCAUGGCUGUUCCUGCCAAGGGUUCAGCCUGAGGUUUGUCUGCCAGAGAUCAGGUCUGAUGAAAUCUGCUGUUCCACCUUGGCAAGAAAAUACAGCCAAGGAUGUGACUUUGCAGGGAAGUUUCUUUAGAUGGUCUCUCUAUUUCAGCCUCUUGUCCCUACCCCUCAGCAGCCGAGUUUAUAGAACACCCUACAAGGCGAGACAAGAAGAAAUUGCCACAAAACAAAGCAUUAUUUUAUGUCUGCUGGGGGAUUAAAGCUUCCCAAUCAGGCUCCCAGCAUUACCACCCCCCUGGAUUUACAGAUAAGGAAUGUGUUGUCUCUUUUAAAACGUAAUUGCUGAUUCAGGCCCUUUGGACAGCUCUGAAAGAGCCUGGCCAGCCCUUGCAAACACACACCUUCCAGGACCUUGGGUUUAACCUGGUAGGUGCCUGCUGUGUGUGGUGGCUGGGAAGGUGUGGGAUGGAGAGCAGGAAGGACCAUGUGGCAGCAGUGGGAGGCAGAGAGAGAAAAGGAUGGUGCCUGCAGGUGUGUGCGGAGACCAUCUGGAUUUAUAUGCACUGUUUUAUAUCAGGUAGACUUGAAUUCACAGGUAUUUUAACCAUAAGUUUAUUAAAUUCCAUGUGAUCUUGAGGAAAUGAAAUCUGAGAGUUUUAACUCACCGCCAUCUGUUGGCAUGGCCUCAACCCUUCCUUGACUUUUGGGUCUACAUUUACACCUAAGCUUUUAAAAAGGUCACUCCUUCUGGCUUCAGACUGAAAGGUCUGAACAAAAUUUUUUGUAGGUAGAUUGUCUGCCAAAAAAUGGUCUGACACUGGAUGGACAACUCUGAAGGUGUAAGUUGUCAUGUCCUGCCUCAGUUUCCCCAGCUGUGAAAGGAUGAUGAGAUAUAAAGAAUUUAAAGUUCCAGAUGAGUCUGAGUCCUACACCAAAGAAUCUCUGUUUGAUUUUUACCUUCUACCCAAAAGAGAAGCCAAAAUGACUGAUGGUUACGAGGAGAGUGUGGAUGACACUGACCCCAUGCAGCUCCUGGAUCUACCUGAGAAAGAGAAACCUGAGGCCAUGAACAAGCCCUGGGACUGAUUUUUCCUUCUGGGUGAAGAGAAAGGGUUUCCUUGUUAACAGCAAAUGGCAAAACACCAGAAUGUUUGAA
This is a long non-coding RNA of Parus major (Great Tit), 1836 nucleotides long. RefSeq lists it as uncharacterized. Lineage: Eukaryota; Metazoa; Chordata; Aves; Passeriformes; Paridae. The record is from RefSeq and is a predicted model, not a curated record. The transcript is spliced from 2 exons.